GACUGGUUGGAAUUCAUUGCAAGGCAGGCCUGCAUUGGCAUGACUCAAGGCCUGUGUGAACAGCUAGAAGAGAGUUUUGUGAGGCUCUCUUAUACCAGGGAUUUACUUUUUCCACAUCAAGACAGAACAACUGAGCUUUUGAGGUUGAGCUGAUCCCAUUUCUAGCAACUAGCAUCACUUCAUAAUGCUGUCACUGAACUCAUACAGAAAAGUGUUUCAGAAAGGCCUAUUGAAGCUGUCUGGGAGAAACUGAUGUCACACACUAUGAAGAUUUGGUGGUGAAACAAAGGCACGUGGAGUUGAACUCAUUUGCUCAAGUUACCAAGUAGGCAAUGGCAGAAUCUGAGCACUCAGACUUCUGAAAACCAGGAACCGAAUUCUUCACAUAGUGCCCACACAACUUGACCUCCAGUGGACAUAAGGUAAUGCUUACAUCUUGAGAUGUUUCAAGUGUCUGGGACCCCAAAUCUUGAAUGUUUGAAUACAUGGUUGUUACUUUAAGUGGUUGAGAGAAAGCUGGACUGUCUUUCUCCUUCUUCAGCUCCUUCCCCUUCCAUUCUUUGCACUAGAAUUUCCCCUGAUACUUUCAGAUGAGCCUUGGCUUUUUGUCCCAUUAAGGCAGUAGUGUGGUAGACAACUUCAGUAAGUUAAAACGUUGCCCUUUGCUAUCUGGCAUACUGUAUUGCUGCAUACACAGGCUAUUAGGGGGUUGAACACUUACUUCCCUGAUCCAAGUCCCCUUCUCCCCCACCUCCUGCAUGUGCCUCUUAUCCAUCAUCUCCACUUAGCUGCAGUCCCAAACCCUUCUCACUUUAUAUUUCUCACUCGUUCAUCCCCUCGUUUUUUUUUUCCCUUUUACUCCUAACAAGGGUAGAACUGAAACCAGUAUUGAACCUCACCAAAUCUCUACAAAGGCCCAGCAUCUUUCCCUUGUUGCCACCACAAUCACUUGGGCAGAUGCUGGCUAAAAAUCCUUGUGGUUACUCUGUGCUUCAAUGUGAAUUCUAAUUGACUGCUGCACCUAACUUUUCUGAGAUGCUGAGACCAGAACUGCACACAAUAUUCAAGACACUGGCACACAAUUGAUUUCUAUAGUGGCGUGAUGAUGUUUUUCAUUUUGUUUUCAAUUCCUUUUUUAAUGAGGCCCAACACUUUGAUGGCUUUUUUUGGUUACCACUGCACACUGAGCUGAUGUUUUUUAGACAGCUAUCGAUAAUAAGUCUCGGGUCUCUUUCCUGAGUCAUAACAGCUAACACACCAGUCCGAUUUUCAGACUGCUGGUGAGCCACAUGCUCAAUAGCUGUCUCAGUUUUGGCAACCAAAAAUUAAGGCACUCAAAAAUCACUUGUCAUCUCUGAAGGUGUCAGUCAUUAUAUUUGUCACGUAAUUUUUUGCAUCCUUUUUUGUCCAUGCAUUUGAUCUGUUUCUUAGUACUCCUCUCUCAGACAAUUUAAGAAUAUUGUGUAUAAAUAAAGAUCAUGGCUAUGAAUAUGUAGAUACUUACAAUAUAAGGAAGUUUGCCUUUGCUUAGUCCUUUUGAACUUGUGGGUUUCUAAGGUAGUAAAAUACUUCCAAGUUGACAUUUUUGGUUGUUUAACUUCUGGGACCAUUAAUGCCUACAUUUUAAUACACAUCUGGCCCAUUACUGUUAUUUAUGCAUAGCAUCAACUCUAAUGAUCAUAUAUUUUGUUUGACUAUACCUCUUCUUUCCUCAGAAUUAACACUAUGAUUCAUUUUAACUGUAACAGAUUAAUGGGUACCUAAUGAAAUGCAUAAUUCACUUAGAUUAAUAAUGGGAAUUAAUACAAGUAAACGUGUGCAUCACAAAGUAAAAUCUUCUCUAGCUGAAAAGAUACGCUUUGAGAAAUGGUUCUAUACAUCAUCUUUUAUCAUGAAAUCAAAGAAACAUAAACCUUAGUAAUUGUUGUUUGGUACAAUAGGGCAUAAGGGAGGAAUGAGAGAAUCAAGGCUAACUUAGAACAGGUAUUAUCUUAACUGCUCCCACCUUGCAGCUAGUUAGCAUUUGGCCUAGCUAAUUAAAAGAUACAUCUUCCCAUGUUGUGUCCAAGUUUGGUAUAAAUGUGAAUUCAUUGUAUGCGAUACUUAAAA
Gavialis gangeticus (Gharial) is the source of this 2109-nucleotide long non-coding RNA. RefSeq lists it as uncharacterized. The transcript has 3 exons. NCBI's taxonomy places the organism in Eukaryota, Metazoa, Chordata, Crocodylia, Gavialidae. The record is from RefSeq and is a predicted model, not a curated record.